RNAcentral lists this ribosomal RNA (697 nucleotides) under uncultured Methanosaeta sp. RNAcentral describes it as "bacterial SSU rRNA". It matches the Rfam family "Archaeal small subunit ribosomal RNA", at positions 1 to 705 of the family's 1478-position model. The record is from RNAcentral. Lineage: Archaea; Methanobacteriati; Methanobacteriota; Methanomicrobia; Methanotrichales; Methanotrichaceae.
UCUGGUUGAUCCCGCCGGAGGUUACUGCUAUCGAGGUUCGACUAAGCCAUGCGAGUCGAAUGUAGCAAUACAUGGCGUACUGCUCAGUAACACGUGGACAACCUACCCUCCGGACGGGGAUAAACCCGGGAAACUGGGUAUAAUACCCGAUAGAUCUCGACUGCUGGAAUGCAUCGAGAUCGAGAGCUCCGGCGCCAGAGGAUGGGUCUGCGGCCUAUCAGGUAGUAGUGGGUGUAGCGUACCUACUAGCCUACGACGGGUACGGGUUGUGAGAGCAAGAGCCCGGAGAUGGAUUCUGAGACACGAAUCCAGGCCCUACGGGGUGCAGCAGGCGCGAAAACUUUACAAUGCCGGCAACGGCGAUAAGGGGACCUCGAGUGCCAGGUUACAAAUCUGGCUGUCGUGAUGCCUAAAAAGCAUUGCAUAGCAAGGGCCGGGCAAGACCGGUGCCAGCCGCCGCGGUAACACCGGCGGCUCGAGUGGUAACCGUUAUUAUUGGGUCUAAAGGGUCUGUAGCCGGCCGGAUAAGUCUCUUGGGAAAUCCAGCAGCUCAACUGUUGGGCUUUCAGGAGAUACUGUCUGGCUCGAGGCCGGGAGAGGUGAGAGGUACUUCAGGGGUAGGGGUGAAAUCUUGUAAUCCUUGAAGGACCACCAGUGGCGAAGGCGUCUCACCAGAACGGACCUGACGGCAAGGGAC